This 422-nucleotide ribosomal RNA is filed under the name uncultured bacterium. Its description in RNAcentral is "partial 16S ribosomal RNA". It matches the Rfam family "Bacterial small subunit ribosomal RNA", at positions 359 to 774 of the family's 1533-position model. The record is from RNAcentral.
UAUAUUGGACAAUGGGGGCAAUCCUGAUCUAGCCUUGCUGUGUGUGUGAAGUUUGUCUUCGGAUUGUAAAGCACCUUAAGUCGGUAGGAACGGACUUUGGCUAAUACCCUGUAGUUUUGACGUUACCAACAGAUUACGCACUGGCUAACUCUGUGCCAGCAGCCGCGGUAAUACAGAGGGUGCAAGCGUUAAUCGGAAUUACUGGGCGUAAAGCGCGCGUAGGUGGUUCAGUAAGAUGGGUGUGAAAUCCCCGGGCUUAACCUGGGAACUGCUUUCAUAACUGCUGAGCUAGAGUACGGUAGAGGGUAGUGGAAUUUCCUGUGUAGCGGUGAAAUGCGUAGAUAUAGGAAGGAACACCAGUGGCGAAGGCGACUACCUGGACUGAUACUGACACUGAGGUGCGAAAGCGUGGGGAGCAAACA